Long non-coding RNA from Carassius gibelio (silver crucian carp), 1025 nucleotides. RefSeq lists it as uncharacterized. The transcript is spliced from 3 exons. The record is from RefSeq and is a predicted model, not a curated record. NCBI's taxonomy places the organism in Eukaryota, Metazoa, Chordata, Actinopteri, Cypriniformes, Cyprinidae.
UUCCUCUCGCUGAUCACACUGUUCCUGCACGGAGGAGCCGCUUUGCUGGGCUUCGUUUUCUGACACUUCAGCACGAUGGUGACCAAAAUAGUGAUGAGUAAAAGAAAUGAAACGGAGCCCAGUCCGAUCACCAGAUACAGGUUUAAAUCGGAGAAGAUGUCAUAUCCCAAAGGCACCUCAGUCAUGUCAGCAUAGGUUUUAAGGGCACCCGAUUCGAACGUUAUCACUCGAUUGAAUGGGGCGUUAUCAGCGGUUAUCAGCCCAUAGCUAUGGGCCAGGAGGGGCCUCCUGUGCCUACUAGUAGGCUCAGAAGGCCGUGAUCAUCCAUCCAAAUGGUUGAUCACCCACAAAUAUACAAGAGAAGACUCCAGAUCCAAUCCCAGAAUUCCUGCUCACCGGUAAUCGGAAGUCUACUGGACGAAUGCGGGAACGUUGCGAUAUUUCCUGCUUAAUAUUUUCAGGCACAAUGAAUGAUAUUAAGGGCAGGUGCGCCACAUUGGGGGAAGAUGCAAAGCAGAAAUACAUUCAAGAGGCAGCAGCACUGAGGGCACAUGGGCAGGCACAGGACACUAAACCCUGAGAUGGAGGCAAUUUGUGCUGUGUCUGCUGCGUCCAUUUUUAUGAUAAGAAGAAGAAUGCAAGAAAGAAGUGGCAUUCAUGGUCUCAGUGCACAGUGUGCCAAUCAUGGUCACACACAGCAUGUGGCUUUAAAAAGAACAUGUGCGUUCACUGCCAGGGUCAAGACACCAUGCUAACACCCUGAAGAUGUAUCUUGUUACUUGUUUGAGUUGUUUUUACUGUGUUGACGGCCCCCAACCCAUCCAUACAAACACACACACACAAUACAUACAUAUGCUGCAAAUUUAUUGUAAUGACCACACUUCACACGUAAGAAGAAAAUUGUGAUCUUUUUGUUAUUUUCAUUCACCCCAUUUUUAUUUAUUAUUGUUGUUUGUUGGCACCAUCAAUGUGUUCUCCUUUAUACAGGACUUAUGUGGGGACCAAUAAAGUUAUAUUGUACUGAA